Molecule: RNA transcript, 1680 nt
Organism: Sapajus apella (tufted capuchin)
Lineage: Eukaryota; Metazoa; Chordata; Mammalia; Primates; Cebidae
Exons: 1
Source: RefSeq, a predicted model, not a curated record
CCUAGAGAGGGCCGGUGCCAUCAGCACUGCUGCCUCUGACCCACCCCCUACCCUGUUAUACUGGCCCGUGUGGGCUUUGGUGCCAGCCCUGCUCAGCCAUGGACCCUCAACUUCUCUGAACCUUAGUCUCCUCUUGUAGCAAAUGGGCUCAUCAUAGCCGGGCCUGGCAUUGAGCCACGGUUGCUAUGACCGUCCACCUAGAGGGCCCAGCCAGGCCUUGUGGGUCGUGCCUCUGCCCCUCAAGGCUGAUAGAGAUGCGUUUUCAGGGAGAAUGGAUGCGGUAAUGUGAGGAAACAGGCUCAGGAGUGCAGACCCUUCCUCAUCUGCUGUGUGACCUUAGGUCAGCCCUGCUCCUCUCUGAGGUCUUUUUAGCAGGCAGAGCGAGGGCUAGAGCGGCCCCCAGCGCCCUGCAGCUCUGCUGUUGGACUGUUCCAAACCUCAUUCCCUCCACAUUCCUGACUCCUGUGUGACUGCGGGCCAGGUGGCCUUCCCUUCAGCCUCUGAGGUCCCAUCUGUGUCAUGGGGUUAUUAGCCCUGCCUUCUUGGUCCUGGGCUGGGACUGGAGGCACCAUCCUGGCGUGGAUGGGGUGGCAAAGAGAUAGAUACCCCCAUCCCUCACCCCUGCUUUUGCCCCCAGUGUCAGGGACUCUUCUCCCUGGUGUGGGCCUGGGCCUGUGGGGAACUGACGGAGAAGCGACAGCGGGCAUCCUGCAGGGAGGGGCCUCAAGGAAGGCAAGGCCAGCACCCCCACCCCAAAGGGCCUCUGUCCCACCCAGGAGGCUCCAAUCUCCCAGCAAGGUCAACCAGUAACCAUGGGGAUGGAGCGGAGCUGUGAGUAGGGGCAGAGACCUAGACUCCCACCCCACAGGGCAGUCCUGAGCAAGGGCUCUCCAUCUGCAAAGUGCAGCUCUGGCCCCUGCUCUAGGCUGCUAGGGCGCUGGGAAGCCCUCCUCCUUCCCCUUCUGGGCCACUUUCUCUGGGGUCCCCCUGCCAUGUGCUAUGUGCCCAGGCCGUUUCUCGGGGCUGCCCGCUGUGCCUUACUUUGACCUCAGCCGCUAGGACAAACUUGAGAUACCCGGAGGAAGCUCACCAGACAAGUCAGGGCUGAUGUUUAAGCGCGUGAAGACAGUGCUGCGGAAUUCCUGGAGUGGGGAGAGAGCAGCAUGUGGCACGGCCUUCGGGAGGCAGCUUCCAGCUUACCCCAGCCCACCCUAGAGCCUCAGCUUUGAAUCCCGUCUCCAUCGCUUCCUAGCUGGAUGCCUUUGGGCGAGUCCUGAAAGAUCUGUGCUGUGAGAGGGGACCUAGUGGAUGAUCCUUGGCUGCUGCCAGAACGUUUCCUUUGAGUUCCUGGAGGUCCUGAUGCCCAGGAGCACUGUGGGAGCACUACGAAUCCCUCACCCUUGUGAAUGCUUUGGAGCUACAAGCCAGGUCAGCCCAGGGAGGAGGCUCCCACAGUGAGGAGCCUCUCCUUCCUCACUGUGGCUGGAGGGAGAGGCCCACUUAGGGGAGGCUUAAAGGCCUCCCUAGCUUCAUGUGACCAGGUAAGUUUGUAAUCCUGGAGGCCUGUCUGUGCAAGGGCCUGGGGGUGACUCUGGGGGCAUCCAGGACAGACUGCUUGAGAGUGGGGCUCAACAGAUGGUGAAGUGUUGUGACUGGCAAAUACAGAAAGCCAGGAGUGUG